UUUGGUCUCCUUAUUUGAGAAGGAAUAAGACUCCUAAUUUGGUUAGGACAUUAUCAAAUAAGUUGGCAUCAACUACUUAAGGGAGGGACCUAACUCAUCGUGAGUUAUGAAUUAUUUUUGUGCGACAAAAGGUGAGAAACCAUCAUGAGAUAUCAUGAGGAAAAAUAAGAAGGGAAUGGUGCUAAUUUCUUUUGGGUGUGGAGACCCCUUAGGCAUCUUUUUUUCCUUGGCAUGAAGGUCCUAUCCAAGAUCCCUUCCAUCCAUGAGAUAGGAUCUCAUCCCUCCCCUCGCUU
RNAcentral lists this long non-coding RNA (293 nucleotides) under Elaeis guineensis (African oil palm). RNAcentral's name for it is "long non-coding RNA (EGUI_LNC041026)". Lineage: Eukaryota; Viridiplantae; Streptophyta; Magnoliopsida; Arecales; Arecaceae. The record is from RNAcentral.